This is a long non-coding RNA of Mastomys coucha (southern multimammate mouse), 300 nucleotides long. RefSeq lists it as uncharacterized. The record is from RefSeq and is a predicted model, not a curated record. The transcript is spliced from 2 exons. Lineage: Eukaryota; Metazoa; Chordata; Mammalia; Rodentia; Muridae.
UAGGUCACAACUUUGCUUCUGAUAGAGUCUGACACUUUGAUCGGAUCACAGCACCUGCACACCCCACUUGUGACUCAAACAAGAUGCCCCAUCUGAGGUGCCUCUGGAAUGCCUUCCUCUCACCUCUCCCUGCUACUCAGAGAACCCAGCUUUCACUCCCUGGUAUGGCUGCCUGACCAGGUAAACAGGAGUGUCCAAAGCCUCUGAGAAGAGACAUUAGAGAGAUGAAGCAGGCACCCUUUUCUCUGUCCUGUUAAACACAAGGACAAUGGCUGAACUUUGGCAGUUAUUUUGAACCAA